Gossypium raimondii (Peruvian cotton) is the source of this 1454-nucleotide RNA transcript. It is a transcript of the gene named vacuolar protein sorting-associated protein 29, with no coding region annotated. The transcript has 5 exons. Lineage: Eukaryota; Viridiplantae; Streptophyta; Magnoliopsida; Malvales; Malvaceae. The record is from RefSeq and is a predicted model, not a curated record.
UUUUUUAUUUUUUUACACCGAAAAACUUACAGCGUGUUUGGUUCGCUGUUUUCCCCCCCUCUGCAUGCGUAUUCCCCCCUAUGCAGCAGGCCCACCAGGAAACGGUUGUUUGGUUCGCUGUUUUCCCAUUCCCCGCCGAAUCGGUUACUCCCCCAUUACAUUGAUUGCGCGUAAUAGGCAUUGCGGCCCCUCAGCGCCGAUUACCCAUUCCGCGUCUUUCCCUUUUUUCUCUUCCGUUUUCUGCCCUCGUCCUCAACACUGUUAAAAGCUUCCCCAAAGUAAUCGACAGAGUCCUCGACGUUGUCAAAAGCUUCCCCAAAGUCGAUCCUUCCAAGUUAUUGGUAGAUAUUAGAAGAAGUUGGUGCUGGUUUUGGCUUUGGGGGAUUUGCAUAUACCCCAUCGGGCGGCUGAUCUCCCUCCCAAAUUCAAGUCCAUGCUAGUUCCUGGAAUGAUCCAACACGUCUUUUGCACUGGUAAUCUUUGCAUCAAGGAAGUUCAAGAUUACUUGAAGACACUUUGUCCUGACUUGCAUAUUACCAGAGGCGAAUAUGAUGAAGAUACAAGAUAUCCCGAGACCAAAACAUUAACUAUCGGACAAUUCAAGUUGGGAUUGUGCCAUGCCAUGGCCAUCAGACAGAGAUCUUGCUCUCUUUUUCUAAAGCUGCUAAAGGAUGCACGAAGGAUCUACAGUUUUAUGCAUUUGUAACUUGUGAUUCUUGCGGUAAGUAGCGCCUAAAAUUUGUUGGAAUCAUGUUGUGUUCAAGAACCAUACAAGCACAAAUGUAAUCCACUAAAUGCAUAAUCCCUGUAGUACUUAAUUUACAUUUGUUUAAUAUGUAUUCUCAUAAUCUCGUUACUACUAGAAAUCAAUUUUUGCUUAAUUUGUUGCAAAUAUUUUCCAGCAUCUUUAAAUAAAUGUGUUUGUCUUCUCUUUCCAUUUGGAUUUGGUGUUGCCUUCAACUCCGAACAUCCACGUCAAAUAAAAUGGGGUCUGUGGGUUGUUCACAAGCUAGUGCUGACUGCUAUUUAUGGCUCUAUACUGUUUAUGUACCAUUCCAAGUGGAGAGAAAGCAAGACCUGCAUUCUACAAAUAUGUUGCCUUCAUGUUCAUCUUGAAUGCACUAGAACUGUUUGCUUUACCUAGAGCUUCUUCCUAAAGAUCAAUAUACCGAUAUUGUUGUGGGAACAUAUCCAAAAAUGUAGAAUGUGCUUUACCUAGAGCUUCUUCCUAAAGAUCAGUUAGUCCUUGAUUUUUUUUUUCAGUAUGUACUAUGUGUUAUCAAGUAGAUUUGGAGUUUGAAUAUCUACAUCUAAAUUAUUUUCAUUUCCAAGCAGAGAUCUUUUCUGAUCAAUUUUCUUGUAACAAAAUAAAUAGUAUCAUUGUGUUUGUUAUUGUAGAAUUACAAGAGUCUUGUGAGUUUGAAUGGCUCACAGGUUUGAUGGAGUUUAUUUUU